AUUGAACGCUGGCGGCAUGCUUUACACAUGCAAGUCGAACGGUAACAGGCCGCAAGGUGCUGACGAGUGGCGAACUGGUGAGUAAUGCAUCGUAACGUGCCCAGUCGUGGGGGAUAACUACUCGAAAGAGUAGCUAAUACCGCAUACGAUCUAUGGCUGAAAGCGGGGGACCGUAAGGCCUCGCUCGAUUGGAACGCUCGAUGUCCGAUUAGGUAGUUGGUGGGGUAAUGGCGCACCAAGCCAACGAUCUGUAGCUGGUCUGAGAGGACGACCAGCCACACUGGGACUGAGACACGGCCCAGACUCCUACGGGAGGCAGCAGUGGGGAAUUUUGGACAAUGGGCGCAAGCCUGAUCCAGCAAUGCCGCGUGCAGGAAGAAGGCCUUCGGGUUGUAAACUGCUUUUGUACGGAACGAAACGGCUCUGGUUAAUACCCGGGGCUAAUGACGGUACCGUAAGAAUAAGCACCGGCUAACUACGUG
RNAcentral lists this ribosomal RNA (482 nucleotides) under uncultured bacterium. Its description in RNAcentral is "partial 16S ribosomal RNA". It matches the Rfam family "Bacterial small subunit ribosomal RNA", at positions 30 to 507 of the family's 1533-position model. The record is from RNAcentral.